This 1122-nucleotide ribosomal RNA is filed under the name Halomonas sp. PAR7. Its description in RNAcentral is "bacterial SSU rRNA". It matches the Rfam family "Bacterial small subunit ribosomal RNA", at positions 418 to 1533 of the family's 1533-position model. Lineage: Bacteria; Pseudomonadati; Pseudomonadota; Gammaproteobacteria; Oceanospirillales; Halomonadaceae. The record is from RNAcentral.
UCGGGUUGUAAAGCACUUUCAGUGGGGAAGAAAUCCUCAGGGCCAAUACCCCUGAGGGAGGACAUCACCCACAGAAGAAGCACCGGCUAACUCCGUGCCAGCAGCCGCGGUAAUACGGAGGGUGCAAGCGUUAAUCGGAAUUACUGGGCGUAAAGCGCGCGUAGGCGGCGUGAUCAGCCGGUUGUGAAAGCCCCGGGCUCAACCUGGGAACGGCAUCCGGAACUGUCACGCUAGAGUGCAGGAGAGGAAGGUAGAAUUCCCGGUGUAGCGGUGAAAUGCGUAGAGAUCGGGAGGAAUACCAGUGGCGAAGGCGGCCUUCUGGACUGACACUGACGCUGAGGUGCGAAAGCAUGGGUAGCAAACAGGAUUAGAUACCCUGGUAGUCCAUGCCGUAAACGAUGUCGACUAGCCGUUGGGGUCCUUGUGACCUUUGUGGCGCAGUUAACGCGAUAAGUCGACCGCCUGGGGAGUACGGCCGCAAGGUUAAAACUCAAAUGAAUUGACGGGGGCCCGCACAAGCGGUGGAGCAUGUGGUUUAAUUCGAUGCAACGCGAAGAACCUUACCUACUCUUGACAUCGUGCGAACUUUCCAGAGAUGGAUUGGUGCCUUCGGGAACGCACAGACAGGUGCUGCAUGGCCGUCGUCAGCUCGUGUUGUGAAAUGUUGGGUUAAGUCCCGUAACGAGCGCAACCCCUAUCCCUAUUUGCCAGCGAUUCGGUCGGGAACUCUAGGGAGACUGCCGGUGACAAACCGGAGGAAGGUGGGGAUGACGUCAGGUCAUCAUGGCCCUUACGAGUAGGGCUACACACGUGCUACAAUGGCCGGUACAAAGGGUUGCGAAGCCGCGAGGUGUAGCUAAUCCCGAAAAGCCGGUCUCAGUCCGGAUCGGAGUCUGCAACUCGACUCCGUGAAGUCGGAAUCGCUAGUAAUCGUGAAUCAGAAUGUCACGGUGAAUACGUUCCCGGGCCUUGUACACACCGCCCGUCACACCAUGGGAGUGGACUGCACCAGAAGUGGUUAGCUUAACCUUCGGGAGAGCGAUCACCACGGUGUGGCUCAUGACUGGGGUGAAGUCGUAACAAGGUAGCCGUAGGGGAACCUGCGGCUGGAUCACCUCCUUA